AUCCUGGGGUUACUGGAUGCUGUGGUUUGUAUACAGUGAAUUGAAGGGGCCAGACCAGUUCUGUGAUUGAUGCAUGGUGGCUGUUUUUCUUUAGCAGCCUCUGUAUCCCAGCCACUGAUACAUGG
Molecule: small nucleolar RNA, 125 nt
Organism: Sorex fumeus (smoky shrew)
Lineage: Eukaryota; Metazoa; Chordata; Mammalia; Eulipotyphla; Soricidae
Product: small nucleolar RNA SNORA84
Exons: 1
Source: RefSeq, a predicted model, not a curated record